GGACAAAUGAUUUUUUGUGAAAAAAAAGUUUUGUCUGAGUAGGAAAAGUAUAUCCAUCCGUGUGCGUUUAGAUCUGUUAUUCAUAUUGAUAGAUUAUAUUCCAUAUGUGGAUGCACAUUGCAUAUAGAACAUAUACUCACCUUGGGUUGUUAGGUACCUGUUGUAGCUUUGCACAUCUGCUCUCCGUAAUGUUUAUUGUUGCAACGUUCAUAUGAUCAGAUGGUUAUUGAUGGUGUUAAAUGUUACUCUAAUUGAUUGCUGAAAUUGAUAGGGUUGGGAUGUGACACUGAAUUUCUCCAAGCUGCCGUAAGUUUUCCCUCACUAUUUAUUGGUUAAUUUUUCUUUCACUUUUUCCCCCCUCUUUUUCACAUUUUACUUGAUACUCUCGUUAUAUGUGAUUAAUUUUGCGUUGGUAAUAUUAGGCUUGCUGCGAGGAAGGCCAAGAAGGAAAAGAAAGUGAAAGAUCCAAACAAGCCAAAGAGGCCUCCAAGUGCUUUCUCUGGCCAAAGGUUAAUUAGACCAUUAAUCCAUUCAAUGCUAUUUCUGCUUUCAGGGAAGGGUUCAGGAAACAAUCCAAGAAAAAAAUAGCCGAAUCAAUUGUUGUUGUAAGUUCAUCAUUCUUUUUAAAUUUUCUUUGAAGCUUAAUAUUCAAGCCAGAUAUUUGCACUAGGAGCUUGCAUGAUAAUUUUCUUUAUGAUUUCUUGUUUUCCUUUUGGGAAUAAAUAAUAAUAUAGGUUGGAAAAGUUGGUGGAGCUAAGUGAAAGUCCAUGAGUGAUGAGGUAAAUAUAUGCAAUCUAAGU
Molecule: long non-coding RNA, 800 nt
Filed under: Olea europaea subsp. europaea
Lineage: Eukaryota; Viridiplantae; Streptophyta; Magnoliopsida; Lamiales; Oleaceae
Source: RNAcentral